This 465-nucleotide ribosomal RNA is filed under the name uncultured bacterium. RNAcentral describes it as "partial 16S ribosomal RNA". It matches the Rfam family "Bacterial small subunit ribosomal RNA", at positions 338 to 795 of the family's 1533-position model. The record is from RNAcentral.
CCUACGGGUGGCAGCAGUAGGGAAUCUUCCACAAUGGGCGAAAGCCUGAUGGAGCAACGCCGCGUGGGUGAAGAAGGUCUUCGGAUCGUAAAACCCUGUUGUUAGAGAAGAAAGUGCGUGAGAGUAACUGUUCACGUUUCGACGGUAUCUAACAAGAAAGCCACGGCUAACUACGUGCCAGCAGCCGCGGCAAUACGUAGGUGGCAAGCGUUAUCCGGAUUUAUUGGGCGUAAAGGGAACGCAGGUGGUCUUUUAAGUCUGAUGUGAAAGGCUUCGGCUUAACCGGAGUAGUGCAUUGGAAACUGGGAGACUUGAGUACAGAAGAGGAGGGUGGAACUCGAUGUGUAGCGGUGAAAUGCUUAGAUAUAUGGAAGAACUCCGGUGGCGAAGGCGGCUCUCUGGUCUGUAACUGACGCUGAGGCUCGAAAGCGUGGGUAACAAACAGGAUUAGAUACCCCAGUAGUC